CCUACGGGGGGCAGCAGUGAGGAAUAUUGGUCAAUGGGCGUAAGCCUGAACCAGCCAAGUCGCGUGAGGGAUGAAGGUUCUAUGGAUCGUAAACCUCUUUUAUAAGGGAAUAAAGUGUGGGACGUGUCCUGUUUUGUAUGUACCUUAUGAAUAAGGAUCGGCUAACUCCGUGCCAGCAGCCUCGGUAAUACGGAGGAUCCGAACGUUCUCCGGAUUUAUUGGGUUUAAAGGGUGCGUAGGCGGCCUUUUAAGUCAGCGGUGAAAGUCUGUGGCUCAACCAUAGAAUUGCCGUUGAAACUGGGAGGCUUGAGUAUGUUUGAGGCAGGCGGAAUGCGUGGUGUAGCGGUGAAAUGCUUAGAUAUCACGCAGAACCCCGAUUGCGAAGGCAGCCUGCCAAGCCAUGACUGACGCUGAUGCACGAAAGCGUGGGGAUCAAACAGGAUUAGAUACCCGAGUAGUC
Molecule: ribosomal RNA, 460 nt
Filed under: uncultured bacterium
Lineage: Bacteria
Description: partial 16S ribosomal RNA
Rfam family: Bacterial small subunit ribosomal RNA
Source: RNAcentral